Molecule: ribosomal RNA, 497 nt
Filed under: uncultured bacterium
Lineage: Bacteria
Description: partial 16S ribosomal RNA
Rfam family: Bacterial small subunit ribosomal RNA
Source: RNAcentral
GAUGAACGCUGGCGGCGUGCCUAAUACAUGCAAGUCGAGCGAACAGACGAGGAGCUUGCUCCUCUGACGUUAGCGGCGGACGGGUGAGUAACACGUGGAUAACCUACCUAUAAGACUGGGAUAACUUCGGGAAACCGGAGCUAAUACCGGAUAACAUGUUGAGCCGCAUGGUUCAACAGUGAAAGACGGUCUUGCUGUCACUUAUAGAUGGAUCCGCGCCGCAUUAGCUAGUUGGUAAGGUAACGGCUUACCAAGGCAACGAUGCGUAGCCGACCUGAGAGGGUGAUCGGCCACACUGGAACUGAGACACGGUCCAGACUCCUACGGGAGGCAGCAGUAGGGAAUCUUCCGCAAUGGGUGAAAGCCUGACGGAGCAACGCCGCGUGAGUGAAGAAGGUCUUCGGAUCGUAAAACUCUGUUAUUAGGGAAGAACAAAUGUGUAAGUAACUAUGCACGUCUUGACGGUACCUAAUCAGAAAGCCACGGCUAACUACGUG